This 722-nucleotide long non-coding RNA is filed under the name Homo sapiens (human). RNAcentral describes it as "HSALNT0349797". The record is from RNAcentral. Lineage: Eukaryota; Metazoa; Chordata; Mammalia; Primates; Hominidae.
GCAACAAUUUGAGAGGCCCCAGAGAGAUUCCAAAGGCCUGAGGACUUGGCACAAAAUGGAAUUUACCAGCUAGACAGAAGAGACAGGGAAAGAAACUGGCGUUGAUCAUACUGAACGCCAUCAUGAAGGAGGUUUGAGAUACUGCUUUUUCCUCUCUGUGAAGUCCUGAGUCCAUGGAAAGGCCGAGGGGAGAAACAUCGGCAGCAACAUGGCAGCUCUAUUAGUGAUGGAAACUGGAUUGGGAAAUGCGAUAUCACAUCUGUCACCUAGAGGUUUUGGCAACAAUAUUUCGGCCUAGAAUUCAGCCCAGCACAUUCAGUGUACUGUGCUUACCCAGCCUCUGGCAGAGUGGGACAGCUGAAGCUUCCUGGAAAGGAAGAAGCUCUUGUUACCCGGUGGAAAGCAGAUCGCAAUGGAUACUUCCUGCAGUCAGUCAAGCUUCUGAAAGUAGAGAAUCAGGGAGGAGCUAAGAAAAGCAGCGGUCAAGAUAAACUAAGCCCCUUAUCCCCAGCCCACAAAUAAAAUGCUUCAGUCUUUCUUCCAUGGGAAUGAAGUCAGGGAUACAGAAAGAAACCAAAUAUGUUUCUCUCAGUGGUGUCUAUAGAAAAAGGAAGUCAAAGAGAGAUGAGGGUUCUCCCCUAAUGUCUGAGAUAACACAGCUGGAGGCCCUAAUCUAACCUGGAUUUGGGGAUCAAAGAAAGUUUCACCAAGGUGAAAACACA